GCUGGCGGCAGGCCUAACACAUGCAAGUACGAGCGCGAAAGCACUUCGGUGUGAGUAGAGCGGCGGACGGGUGAGUAACGCGUAAGAAUCUACCUAGUAGUGGGGGACAACUCGGGGAAACUCGAGCUAAUACCGCAUACGCCCUACGGGGGAAAGCGGGGGACCUUCGGGCCUCGUGCUAUUAGAUGAGCUUGCGUUGGAUUAUCUUGUUGGUGGGGUAAUGGCCCACCAAGGCGACGAUCCAUAGCUGGUCUGAGAGGAUGAUCAGCCACACCGGGACUGAGACACGGCCCGGACUCCUACGGGAGGCAGCAGUGGGGAAUAUUGCGCAAUGGGCGAAAGCCUGACGCAGCCAUGCCGCGUGUGUGAAGAAGGCCCUAGGGUUGUAAAGCACUUUCAAUUGGGAGGAAAAGCUAACGACUAAUACUCGUUAGCCUUGACGUUACCUUUAGAAGAAGCACCGGCUAACUCCGUGCCAGCAGCCGCGGUAAUACGGAGGGUGCAAGCGUUAAUCGGAAUUACUGGGCGUAAAGCGCGCGUAGGCGGCUUUUUAAGUCGGAUGUGAAAGCCCCG
Molecule: ribosomal RNA, 573 nt
Filed under: uncultured Gammaproteobacteria bacterium
Lineage: Bacteria; Pseudomonadati; Pseudomonadota; Gammaproteobacteria
Description: bacterial SSU rRNA
Rfam family: Bacterial small subunit ribosomal RNA
Source: RNAcentral